CUUGAACUCAUGAGGGUUCAAUAGUCCAUCAAUUGCUUCUUUAAAACUCUUUAUCAAUUGAACUCUAGCAGAGAAGGCCCAUCUGCAAGCUCCAUGCCAAAGGAAGUGGAAUUAAGUUUUUCUAAGCAAAGAAUCCAAUCAAGUUUUUCUAAUCAAAGAAUCAAGUGGAAGCCAAUGUAAAAAAUACAACUUCAGAGUCUGGCAUUGGAAGUUGGGAAACAGAGCCUUUGAAGGAAAUAGGAGGGAUCGGGG
Molecule: unclassified non-coding RNA, 252 nt
Filed under: Hevea brasiliensis (rubber tree)
Lineage: Eukaryota; Viridiplantae; Streptophyta; Magnoliopsida; Malpighiales; Euphorbiaceae
Source: RNAcentral